GGGUUUCACCAUGUUGGCCAGGCUGGUCUCGAACUCCUGACCUCGUGAUCUGCCUGCCUUGGGCUCCUGAGUGUUUUCAGAUAAGUAGAUAUUAAGUGACUGACUGAGUAAAGGGAUACACUGGAUCUAUGGAAGUCUUGAUCCAAAAAGCUCUCCAUUGUCCAGUCAGACUCCCUUUUCCAUCUCCAGGGCAGACCAGGGCAUGGUAUAAACUGACUCCACUCCUUGUGUGUAAUACAGUGUCUUCCUAGAGAGGGCGUCUGUCAUUCCACCCCCAGGGACUGCUUGGCAUCUGUGUGGCAGGGGCCAUGCUGUUCCCCGCUGGGAGCACCAUCCUACAGUAAUCUCUGUGCAGGAUGCUAUUAUAAGAAAGACUUGGGACUUUGUCCCCACUCUGCAACCUCACACCCCAAACUGGGAAGGUGCUGAGAAACCGAAGAUUGGCUCGGACAAGUCCAGCUUGGCCAGUAGAUGACUCUAUUGAGGGCCCUCCUGGGUGGCGGCAGGACAGCUCUAGAGGUUCGCACUGCUGCCAUCACUAAGCAAAGUCUCUGGUUCCUGGCCUGCUGUGUGUGAUGGGACUGCCUUCCUGGGUAGGUUCCCAGAUACUCCCAGGGACACACGCUCCUCGCUGGGCCCCCCUGGCCUUGGCUCCUUGCCUGGCCUUCAGGGUUCAGGCAGUGGACAUCCACCCCACGUGACAUGGUGGGACACCUGUCACACCACCGAUGCCCCUGCAGAUGGGCCACGCAACAGCCCUCGGGCCUUCCUGUCUCAGAGCAGGGCUGAUCACAGUCAGGCCCACUGCAGUGGAGAAAGACUGUGCAGAGCUAGACGCUGGACUCGGAUCCUCUCUAGCGUGGGACAGGCACUGGGCACCCAGACGCUCCACACUCAUGCUCAGAGCAGCAUUAUUCACAGCAGCCAGGAGGGGGACGUCGCCCAGGUGUUCCUCGGUGGAUGAAUGGAUAAAGAAAAUGUAAACACACAGUGGAAUCUUACUCAGCCUUGAAAAGGAAGGAAAGUCCAUCCAACACAUGCUACUGCAUGGACGAACUUUGGACAGUGAGCUAAGUGAAAGGAGACAGUCACAAAAGGACAAAUACCAGAUGAUCCCACCUGCGCGAGAUGAUCAGGUUUGUCAUAUCUCCUGCAUGGAGGAAAAUUGCUUUCUGUAAAUCUUGGUCCAACAGAACAAAACACCUAUUUCUUUCCAGUUGGGAGGACAGCCAUUCUCAUCGGUAUAAUGAACGUAUUGUAAGCUGUGACUUUUACAAAGUCUGAGGGAAACCAAUCUGCAAUCUUGACAGAUACGAUCUUUCCAGAUGCACUGUUCGUUUACGGCGGCAAGAGAGCUCAAUUAAUUUCUGAGGGAGGACGGCAGGAUGCGACCCCUUGUGCGUGGCCUAGGAGGAACUGUCCCUGUGUGAAUUUAUGUUCUGGUAAUUUAAAAAGAUUUAUAUUAAGCUUUUCUUUCAUUUUGAGAGUAGAUUAAAAUUCUAAUGGAAACCAUUUGUAUGCAUUUGUUGAAUUGAAGAGUAUUUAUGGCUGUGUAAAAAAAAUGCUGCAAAAUUCUGCCGAUAAUAAAGUCAGUGAAGCAAGAAUAAGUGUAAAAACAGGAAGGAAAUACGCGAUAGAAACCAUACUGUAUUAUACAAGUAUAAUGAGGGAGGCAAGCCGAGCAGAACGGGGCAGGGAUUAGGCCCCCGGAUGGGAUAGUUUUUCUUAUUUAGUGUAAGGCUUUUGUAGCCCUUUUAUGACUUAAAACAAAAUUUAAAUUUUGAAACAGGCCAGGUCAGUCUGCACAGACCCCAUGGCCACAUCACUGUGUCACAUCAUUCUUGAACUCCUGCCGGUGUCUAGGACAAACAGGCAGGAAAGAAAAUCCAAGCGGCGUCUCAGAGAAAAGAUGCUGAUGGCAGGAAAAGAAGACCCAUGAAACAGGAGGCGGGGGUCAGCGAGCAAGGUGAAAAUCAGAGCCCCGGAGUGCAGUGCAGGUGGAAGAGAGGUAGCAAAACCAGGGAAGUCGCCGUGCUCGGGACAGUCCAGUGUGUCCCUGGCAUCCCCAGUCAUUGCCGUGGCCACCUGAUCAGAACCUGUACAGAAGCUGCCCCAUCUCCUCCACGGUGAGGGCCAAGUUGCAUGUGCCACAGCCCUGUCGGUGACCUUUCUGCGGGCUGGGGAAGCAGAGACAACGGCCUGACAAUCUGCAGGCACAGCCAUCCAAGGGGACAGGGUCCAUGCAACAGCCACCAGAGAAAGCUCCUCACUGCCACCUUUGCAGAGGGAGAAAAGCAGAAAGCAUCGUGGAGGCCCUUUAUCAUGUUGGAAGGCCAGAGACAUUUGGCAUUCCGUCAAGGUCCAUCUUAGAGUUGAGAGAGAGUUUCACCAGGAAACUCACAUUCUCUCAGAACUAGCAGCCGUGAUCGCAUGUCGAAGUCAGGCAACGCCAAGCGUGAUGGUUAACAGCGCUAAGACAGGAGAAAAUGGAAAUUCCCUGAGAGUCCACUGCUCUGCUCCUGCGGCGGUGCUUUUCCCCCUCGUUGUAAGCAUGCUCUUUACCAGAGCUGCACGGAUGUCAUAAACUGCCUCACGAUGCACUAGAGCAGAAUCGUGCGUUAGCAAAUUUCACAGAUGCAAAGUGGGAUUUCUGUCAAUGGAAGCCUGCAUGGAAAAUACGGAACAGCUUAAGAAAGUACUGUCUUCUCUCAAAAUUCCACAGGAGCCUGAAAUGCAGGGGUUCCGGCCUAGGCGUUUUUUGAGGCAAAUAACGUCGCCACACGGCCGAGAUACAGGCCCCUUUUUGCCCCAUGAGACUUACUGGCCUCAGAGUCCGGCCGCUUCUGUUUUGUUUCUUCAUGUAUCCUUGGCUUCUAGCGCAGUUCCUGGUACACAGCAGGCGCUCAAUACAUAUUUGCUGAGCUAAGCAAAUAUGUCCUAGGCCCUGUGGAAGAUACGACAUGAGGAAGACCAGGUCCCUGCCAAAAAGGCACCGAGGGCCCAGGCUGGGGAGGGUAGUGCUGACAUCGAGUAGGCCUUCAGCUCUGACCCCAGCUUCAUUUUAAGUGACUAGGAACAAAUUCUCAAAACUUCUUUUCUAUCAACUCUUCUUCACCCCCAAUAUCACAGCACAACUGUCUGUCAUUGAUGGAGUUCCUGCAAUAAGACAAGCGCUAGAAGUUUACCAUAUUUGUAUCCUUACUGGAUUCCCAAAUUAAUCCUAGUAAGCAAGUGACAUGAUUGUUUUUAGUAGAGACAGGGUUUCACUUUGUUGGCCAGGCUAGUCUUGAACUCCUGACCUCAAGUGAUCCACCCACCUCAGCCUCCCAAAGUGCUGGGAUUAGGAAAAUGAAUACUUUUGCAAGCACAAUGACAGGAGUGUCAAAGGAGGUAGGCUCCACACUCUGAUGUCUCUUUAUCAGUGAGGCCUUUUCUGACUCCCUCACAUGAAGAGCAAACUCACUUCCCUUGUGCCAAAGCACUCAACAUAUAUGACAUCCCACACGGGGUAGGCUGAAUCGUGGCCCUUAAAGUAUGUCCAUGUUCCAAUCCUUAGAACAUGUGAAUGUAUUACCUUAUGUGGCAAAAUGGACUUUGCAGACAUGAUUAAGUUAAGGAUCUUGAGAUUUCAGGAAAAUUAUCUUGGAUCAUUCAGGUAGGCCUGACAUAAUCACAAGAGCCCUUACAAGAGAGAGGCAGGAGGCCAGAGGCAGAGAGCUACACUGCGGAGCUGCUUUGCAGAUGGAGGAAGGGGCCACCGAGACCUGAGAAAGUCAAGGAGACAGAUUCUCCCCUGGAGCCUCCAGAGGGAACCAGCCCUGCUCACACCGUCAUUUCAGCCCUGCAAGACUUGUUUGGGCUUCUGACGUCAAGAACUGGGACAGAAUGAAUUUGUGAUGUUUUAGGCCACUAGAUCUGUGGUAAUGUGUUAUAGCAGAAAUAGGAAACUAACACAACUCAUCUCUACUUGUGUAUAUGUUUGUUAUCCGUCUUCCUCUGCUGGGACAUGAAAUCCGCAACAAGUGGAGGCAAAGCCAGGGACUUUGUCUAUUAUGUUGACUGGCAUCCUUAGUGCUCAGAACAGAGCUCAGAAUAAUAAAUAUUUGUUGAAUGAGCAAAGACGGAGGGGGCAGUCGCAGGAAGGGGGCCUACCGCGUGGCUAAGGGCCCUGAGGUAUGAAAGAUCUGAGAUGCUGGUGGACGUGGCUGCUUCCCGAGCUGAACUGGGGAAGUGGUGGGGAGGUGGGAGAUGUCGGGGAGCUGAUGCUGGGGCAGUUUAUACUUUAUUCUGCAAAUGAAGAAUUAUUGAUGGGUUUCAUGUAGAGUCAUGAUCAUAUUUCUUGAUUGCGUUUUUUUUUUGUUUUGUUUUGUUUUGUUUUUUUGAGACAGAGUCUCACUCUGUCGCCGAGGCUGGAGUGCAGUGGUGCGAUCUUGGCUCACUGCAACCUCCGCCUCCUGGAUUCAAGCUUCCCGAGUAGCUGGGAUUACAGGUGCAUGCCACCAUGCCCGGCUAAUUUUUGUAUUUUUAGUAGAGACGGAGUUUCACCAUGUUAGUCAGGCUGGUCUCAAACUCCUGACCUCGUGAUCCACCCACCUCAACCUCCCAAAGUGCUGGGAUUACAAGCGUGAGCCACUGCGCCUGGCCUCCUGAUUGCUUUUUAAGUAAUUUUUUAAAAAUAAUUUUUCUCUUUAUUAUUAAAUGUUAGAAAUAUAUGGAAACGUGGGCAAAAAGUAAAAAUCACUCAAAUCUCAUUCCUAGAGUUAGUCACUAUUAAUAUUUUGGUGUAUGUGUAUUUCUUCCUUCAACAUUCAGAUUAUAUACUUUUUUGAAACUGGCUUUUUUCUCUUAAUGUGAAUUUCUCCAUGUCAUUAAAUAUUCUCCUAAAAACA
Molecule: long non-coding RNA, 4889 nt
Organism: Homo sapiens (human)
Lineage: Eukaryota; Metazoa; Chordata; Mammalia; Primates; Hominidae
Exons: 3
Source: RefSeq, a predicted model, not a curated record